RNAcentral lists this ribosomal RNA (499 nucleotides) under uncultured bacterium. Its description in RNAcentral is "bacterial SSU rRNA". It matches the Rfam family "Bacterial small subunit ribosomal RNA", at positions 29 to 521 of the family's 1533-position model. The record is from RNAcentral.
AUUGAACGCUGGCGGCGUGCCUAACACAUGCAAGUCGAGCGGCAGCGCGGGAGCAAUCCUGGCGGCGAGCGGCGGACGGGUGAGUAACGCUUGGGAAUCUGCCUGUUAGUGGGGGACAACCCGGGGAAACUCGGGCUAAUACCGCAUACGCACUACGGUGGAAAGCCGGGGACCGCAAGGCCUGGCGCUAACAGAUGAGCCCAAGUCGGAUUAGCUAGUUGGUAGGUAACGGCCUACCAAGGCGACGAUCCGUAACUGGUCUGAGAGGACGACCAGUCACACCGGAACUGAGACACGGUCCGGACUCCUACGGGAGGCAGCAGUGGGGAAUAUUGGACAAUGGGGGAAACCCUGAUCCAGCGACGCCGCGUGGGUGAAGAAGGCCUGCGGGUUGUAAAGCCCUUUCAGUGGGGAAGAAAGCCUCGAACCUAACACGUCGGGGUCUUGACGUAACCCCAUAGAAGAAGCACCGGCUAACUCUGUGCCAGCAGCCGACGGU